RNAcentral lists this ribosomal RNA (633 nucleotides) under uncultured bacterium. RNAcentral describes it as "bacterial SSU rRNA". It matches the Rfam family "Bacterial small subunit ribosomal RNA", at positions 84 to 749 of the family's 1533-position model. The record is from RNAcentral.
CUUCGGUCCUAGUGGCGGACGGGUGAGUAACGCGUGAGAAUCUGCCUUCAGGAGGGGGACAACAGUUGGAAACGACUGCUAAUACCGCAUAUGCCGAGAGGUGAAAGGAUUAAUUGCCUGAAGAUGAGCUCGCGUCAGAUUAGGUAGUUGGAGUGGUAAGAGCACCCCAAGCCGACGAUCUGUAGCUGGUCUGAGAGGAUGACCAGCCACACUGGAACUGAGACACGGUCCAGACUCCUACGGGAGGCAGCAGUGGGGAAUUUUCCGCAAUGGGCGCAAGCCUGACGGAGCAAGACCGCGUGCGGGAAGACGGUCUGUGGAUUGUAAACCGCUUUUGUCAGGGAAGAAGGAUUGACGGUACCUGACGAAUCAGCCUCGGCUAACUCCGUGCCAGCAGCCGCGGUAAUACGGAGGAGGCAAGCGUUAUCCGGAAUUAUUGGGCGUAAAGCGUCCGUAGGUGGUUUGCCAAGUCUGCUGUCAAAGGAUGAGGCUCAACCUCAUAAGGGCAGUGGAAACUGGUGAGCUAGAGUGCGGUAGGGGUAGGGGGAAUUCCUGGUGUAGCGGUGAAAUGCGUAGAUAUCAGGAAGAACACCGGUGGCGAAAGCGCCCUACUGGGGCCUGCACUGACACUGA